AUGUUGACUGGGUCAAGGCUACCUCAGUCUUGUGCUGAACACAUACUCAUUCCAGACCACACAUCUUCACCACUAUCUACUGAUAACACCAUUCCCACCCCCUGCCUCUCCUGACACCAACCCUCACCACUGAUACCAUUUAUUAUGAAUUCUUCAUUUUGUCAGUAGAAUAUGAUAGAGCAAUAAGUUGGAAAGAAGUAAAAUGGUCAAAUUUUCUCAACUGAUGAGAGUGAAGGAUAAAGGGAGUGAGGCAUCAGCUGCUGUGUCAGCCAUGUGACACUAGUCAGCUGAUGGUUGAGGCCAGGCCAACCCUGUGCUCCUGUGUGACAUGUUCUAAUAAAAAAAAUGCAAAUUAGAGUGCAGAUUCACCACCUCCAGCACCUGCCUCCAUGACACCAACCCUCACCACCAACACCACCUGCCUCCUCUGACACCAUUUUGUCAUCCUUCAACCCCCUUCUCCCUAGAUACAAUGGAGUUAUAAACGUAUGGAACCUCCUACCCACUGAAGCCACAAAUGCUUUUCCACCUGGAAAAGUUCAUCAAGGCAAAUGGGAGGAGGGACCUUCGGACAAACCACCAGCUUCCUGUCCUUGUCGAAGCCAAUAGUGUUAGUGGCCCUCAGGUGAAGGUAAAUCAGGUAAAUAAUUGCAGCUAAUUUUGUCAUUAUUAAGUGAUGCUCUGAGCACAAGCUGCACAAUGGUGCUGUGAGCUGCAGCAGUACAGUAUGCACUACCCAUGGUCACCAACUCAAUAAUGAGGCCCUCACUCGGCCUCUUUGUGGGCACCCAGGAGGGGUGCCUACAAUUUUUUUUCCCCAAGAUGGCAUCUGUUUACUAGAGGCCUAAUGUGAGCCCCGUGUUUGCACAGGGCAUUUAAAUCAUGUGCAGUACAGUACUCUAAAUCAUCCCUCUGACUCAUGCAGUGUGGUCAGAUAAGGCAUAAUUAUUCCUGUUUGACUGGCACUAUGGAAAGGUUAAGUGAAAUUCAUGUGUAAUUUGGAUUUUUGAGGUUGUACUGCAGAUGCAUAUAGUAGUUUAACAUUGCUCAUUGCUUAAGCAUGUCACCCCCCUCCCCUCCCCCCCCCCCCUCCCUGAAACAUUUAAAUGCAGAAGCAUAUGGCUGGACUAAAAUUGUUUACUCUGAUUACUGUCUUAAGACCCUGGAUAAAAUUUUUAAUUAACUUACAGUAGUUUCAUCCUCAUGUAAAACUUGGUCAUAUUCUGACAUGGCUACACAGAAGAUGAUGGCUGUAACAUCCUCAAAACAAUGAAUCCAUUUUUUACGUUCCGAGCGCUGUCCUCCAACAUCAAACAGUCUGUCAAUUAAAAAAUGCACAUCAAUUAAAAAAUGCCCAUCAAUUAAGUUGCUGCUUGCCACAGUUAAUACCAAAACAAUUUAUCAUGAAUUACAUAACACUUCUAUUAUGGUAACACCUUAAUUUGAAGUAUUAAAUUUAAUUUAAAAAACUCACCUUACCAGGAGUAUUUUAAAAAUGAAGGUUAGAAAUAAAAUUCAAGACAUCCAAAUAAAAUGUACAUUUAUUCAGCAAUGUUCAGUCAUAAAUAAAAAUAGUUUUCCUUGCGUGGCACUUGCCCCGGGAUAGCAACACAUCCACAGUUACUUGCCAACAGACACCUCUUAGAGUAGACAAUUAUGAAUAUCUACUCCUUUUCUUAAAAUGUAAAUGGCAUUAAUAUAAUUAAUAUUAAAUUACUAACUAGAGAAGCAAAUACACUGUACAAAAGUGAGCAGUUAAUCUUACACCAUACAUGAGAGGAUGGGUCUUUUAAUACCAUAUACAAUAUCAAUAAUAUUCAGACAAUAUUACACA
This is a non-coding RNA of Procambarus clarkii (red swamp crayfish), 1834 nucleotides long. The record is from RefSeq and is a predicted model, not a curated record. NCBI's taxonomy places the organism in Eukaryota, Metazoa, Arthropoda, Malacostraca, Decapoda, Cambaridae.